RNAcentral lists this long non-coding RNA (564 nucleotides) under Mytilus galloprovincialis (Mediterranean mussel). Lineage: Eukaryota; Metazoa; Mollusca; Bivalvia; Mytilida; Mytilidae. The record is from RNAcentral.
CUAAGAAAGGCGGUUUAAUACAAAGAAUGGUUCAUUAUUACAAAAUAGUUGUCCUGAUAACCCUACAAUAUACGCAAAUCAAAAAUUAUUAGCUUCACGAUCUGUAUUUUUGUUUUUCCCCAAAGUUCCCUGGAAAAUAUCACGAAAACCGUGACAGAGUAAUAGGAAAAGAAACAAGGAAAACAGAAAAUGAAGAUGCAACUGAUUCAACUCCUGUAAUUUUUGCAAAACCAGAAAACUCUGAAGUCUGGAAUUUCAUGAACGAGCGUACAAAAUUUCCUAACACAUGCAAGGUGAAACAAACAGGUAGACACAAAUUAGAUCAGGACGUCAAUUGGGAUGAAUUAGUUCAAGGAAUUACUGUACCUGAUACUGUGAAAGUACUUUAAUUCGUGGGUAUCAAUUUUCGUGGUUUGGAGAAAAGUUGCAUGUUCGUGGAUUCUUAAAUUCGUGGAUUUCAGAUUUUUGAGAAAAAAAAAUAAUAGUAAAAAUGAUAAGAAAUUAUGACUGCCAACGUAAACGUAGCAUCCAGCAUGACGAAAUUGUGUUUCAUAUCACUGCGUG